GAGUUUGAUCGUGGCUCAGAUUGAACGCUGGCGGAAUGCUUUACACAUGCAAGUCGAGCGGCAGCGCGGGGCAACCUGGCGGCGAGCGGCGAACGGGUGAGUAAUGUAUCGGAACGUGUCCUGAGAUGGGGGAUAGCCCGGUGAAAACCGGAUUAAUACCGCAUACGAUCGAGAGAUGAAAGUGGGGGACCGCAAGGCCUCACGUCUUAGGAGCGGCCGAUAUCUGAUUAGCUAGUUGGUGGGGUAAAGGCCCACCAAGGCUUCGAUCAGUAGCUGGUCUGAGAGGAUGAUCAGCCACACUGGGACUGAGACACGGCCCAGACUCCUACGGGAGGCAGCAGUGGGGAAUUUUGGACAAUGGGGGCAACCCUGAUCCAGCCAUUCCGCGUGAGUGAAGAAGGCCUUCGGUUGU
Molecule: ribosomal RNA, 412 nt
Filed under: uncultured beta proteobacterium
Lineage: Bacteria; Pseudomonadati; Pseudomonadota; Betaproteobacteria
Description: bacterial SSU rRNA
Rfam family: Bacterial small subunit ribosomal RNA
Source: RNAcentral